RNAcentral lists this long non-coding RNA (4349 nucleotides) under Sus scrofa (pig). RNAcentral describes it as "lncRNA (ENSSSCG00050030820.1)". The record is from RNAcentral. Lineage: Eukaryota; Metazoa; Chordata; Mammalia; Artiodactyla; Suidae.
AAAAGCGGGAUCCUAAUGGGCACUCCCAGUCGGCAGAGGCAGCCUCUGAAAGCUCCUCUUGUCAGUGGAUAGAAGGAUCCAUUGUUUUCCCAAUCUGAAGUUAUCACGCUUCCCUUUAUCCUUUCUUUUGGACCUUUUAGUGUUUGCUUUAUCAGAAUAUUUUAAUCCCUUCUGUGGUGACUGGUGUAAUUUAUCUCAUUAAGCCUCUCCUGUUUUCUUCUGUUUACAUGACUAAUAUUAUUAUGUUUUAUGGAGCUUAUACCAACAAGCUCCUCCUUUGUCCCAUUGUUCCAGCUCUAGGCCAAAAAUCAACAAAGUUUUAUCUUUCCAAUCUUGGGCCUCACCUACUUGUCAUUCAGUUUGUACAGGUUGCGUGAAGAGCAUGUUCCUUUGAAAACAAAGCAAGGAUUCAUUUUUAUGACCUAAAACCAAACAAUUACCUUUCUCGAAAAGUCCUGGUCAUCUCUUUUUAUGAGUAUAGACUGGCAGAGACUCACCUUAUGAGGGAGGGAAAAAGCAGGUACUUCCUUGUUGGUCGAAAGCCCAAAGUCCCUGAGUAAAUAACGCCCUGCUCCCUAACCUGUAUUUUUUUCAUGGUGUAUAGAGUAUCCUGGAAGCAGAGAACCUGCACCCAGGAAGGCACCUGGUGAGUUUAUCGCAUCCAAGCCCCUGCCCUUGAGCAAGACACACCCAAGCCAGACUGAGCCAGACCAGAGGAGAAUGGGUCCUGUUUUUAAAGGUACAUGAAGGAGAGUCUUCACUGAACCAGUCACAUAUUUGAAAUAGCAUGUCAGAAAAUUCGUUCUCUAAAAAAAACCAGCCUAAUAAAAGCUUUUAUUGUCAUUUCCUCAAUUACGCUGCUUCUUUUCCAAAUUGAAAAUACCUGGGUGCCAUCCUCAGGGAAUCAACAACAAUUUAAUGAGCAAUAACUUCCCACAAGGCAGUGAUUCUCAAAUGUUAGUGCAGAUCAGAAUUACCUGGAGGCUUAUUAGAAACACAGGUUGCUGGACCCCAACCCCCAGAGUUUCUGAUUCCUGAGAUGGAGCAAAGCUUAAGAAUUUCAAGUUAAACAAGUUGACCUCUACAUAGAAAAUGCUAAAUACCUAUCAGAAAAUUUCUGUGCUGUCGGAGUCCAGGGGGGGAAGGCUGACCAUGAACAGUAGUUUAGGAUGUUAGCCAUUAACAUAGGGACCUGCGGGAGCAGAGCUGAGGAGCAGUGUUCAGGCCAGUUGGGGAAGAGGCCAGGAAAACUUCCUGCAGAACCGGAGGCCUGAGGAGUCAUUGCUAAGUUGUUGCUUAAGGAAGGGAAGGUAUGUGCUCUGCCAGCAGAAGGAACUGUAUAGGAUUAAAGAGGAGAUGUGGGGUUUUCUUGGAACAGCAGGUCAUACAGUUUUGUCAGAGGGGAGAGUGGCAAACAAUGUGAUGAUGACAGAACUGCAGAGGUAGUCAGGGGCUAGCUAGAUCAGCUGGCUUAAGGAGCAUGACAGUGUUCCAAAGACCAUUAUUUGAUGUGAGAUGAAAAAAGAAUAGAGGACACAAUUGUUCCCAAUCCUGUACUUCCUUCUCUGUUAACUGGGACUUCUCUACAGAGUUUACUCUGGUUUUCAGCUGAUGUCCAGGCCUUAACUUUCCAGCCUAAGUGUGGACAAAAUUCCCUUUCCUUUUAGUUUAGUUGAGAGCUUUUGGAGUUUCAUAAAGGGAUAUUUGUGAAAACACUAGGCAAACAUAAAACCAAAGUGAACAAAGAAUACUAGAGCUUGGUUCUGGAAAUAGGCUUCUAGCUCUAUCUUUCACUAGCUAUACUGCCUUGAGCUUGUUAACUAAUUUCUUGUGCCAUUGUUUCUGUAUUUAAAUAGAGACUUAAUUCUGUAACAAGAGCCACAAGAUCUUACAUGGUUUGACCCCUACUUGUCUUUCUCAGCCUCAUCUUAUAUCUAAUGAUUUUAACUUUUUCCGCUCCAGCUGCAUAAGUCUUUCAACCUUGUGUUUUUUCAUGAUCCCUUCUACCACAGGGCCUUUGCACAUACUGUGUCCUCUGUCUGGAAUAGUCUUGCCUUCCACUUCAGUAAUUACUAGAUUUAGAUUUAAGACCCACUCCCACUAGAAAAUCUUUGAUUUUCCCGAAUAGAUAAAAUCCCUCCUCUUAUAGAUUUUUUUGGGGUCUUUUUGGGUCUUUUUGUCUUUUUCUAGGGCCACACCCACGGCAUAUGGACGUUCCCAGGCUGGGGUCCAGUUGGAGCUGUUGCUGCCAGCCUACCACCAGAGCCACAGCAACGCUGGAUCCAAGCCGCGUCUGUGACCUACACCACAGCUCAUGGCAACACCGGAUCCUUAACCCACUGAUUGAGGCCAGGGAUUGAACCCGCAACCUCAUGGUUCCUAGUCAGAUUCGUUAACCACUGAGCCACGACAGGAACUCCCUCUUAAAGGGUUUUUUUAGUGUGAUGAACUUAUUUGAUAGCACUUAAUAUUGUUUUUUUCUGUGUAAUUUAAUAUUUCUCCUUUCCUAGACCAGGAGUCAGCAAACUAUUGCCAACUUUGGCUGGCAGCUUGUUUUUUUCUUUAUUUUAUGUAAUUUAUUUAUUUUUGCCUUUUUAGGGCCACACCACAGCAUAUUAAGUUCCCAGGCCAGCAGUUGAAUCAGAGCUGCAGCUGCCAGCCUAUGCCACAGCCACAGCCACGGCAACACACCAGAUCUGAGCCAAAUCUGCAACCUAUACCGCAGCUUGCAGCAACACUGGAUCCUUUAACCUACCGAGCGAAGCCAGGGAUAGAACCUGCAUCCUCAUGGACACUAGUUGGAUUCUUAUCCCACUGAGGCACAAAGGGAAAUCCAAGCAGCCUGUCUUUUUAAAAUAAAGUUUUGUUGAAACACAGCCAACCCACUUAAUUACAUAUUAUCUGUGGCCACUUUUGUACUAACUACAGUGGUAGAGUUGAGUAGUUGCAGCAGGUUUUAUGGCUCACAAAGCCUAAAUAAUUGCUCUGGCCCUUUAAAGAAAAAAAAUUUGCAAAUUUCUAUGUUUAACUAUGAUCUGCGUGAGAGCAGGCACAAGGUGUGUUUUUGCUUACUCACGUACCUUCAGCAUCUAGCUCAGUGUCUGCUACAUGGAAGAUGUGUGGUAAAUAAAUGAAUGAAUGAAUAAAUUUUCAAAAAUAAAUAUUAAGAGAUGCAAGCAAAACUCUGUUUUACUAGCAUGUUGAAAGGGUUAAGUAAGAUGAUAUAUGUAAAGAACUCAGCAGUGUAGUGCCUGAAACUUAGCAGAUGGUUAAUAAAUGUUGACAGUUAUUAUUCUCCAUCUUUCCUGAGUGCAUUUUAGUCUUCUCUCUGGCUCUGGACUUAAGCUGUCUGCUGGCCUGAUUUGUGUUCUUGUCCUUCACUUGUCCUAUUGUCUCUUGUCCUCUGACCUUUGCCUCAUGCAUGAGAAAGGCAUUUCUCUUUCUGACUCCAGGGUUCUUUCCUUGGUCUCAGAUUCUUAGCAUUGUCUUCUCUACUGUUCCCAGAGAUUUCCUUUUAGGAUAUUCAGUCUAUUUGAAGCAUAUUUUUCUCAAACCUUGUCAUAGCCUUAGGGUAACCUUCCUUUAACCUGUCCCCCAGGGCUUAGCUUCACCAAGGGUCAUCUAAGUGAUGGCACUUUUGUCUUAUUUUAUGGCCAGCUCCUUCAGCCACAGCAGACAAUUUCUUCUUUUCCGAUUUGGCAGGAGGAGCUGUAGGAUUGGAGGAAAGCUCCUAAUGAGAGAGCAAUGAACAGAGGCUGGAGAACUGAAUCUGUGUGGUUUUGAGGCAGGAAGGAUCAAAGCCCGGCCCAGAGAUUGUUCAGCCUGCAUACAGCCCAGCUGGGGCAGGGCCCAAAAGGAGGAGUCUUAGUGAAACAGGGGUCAGAGAACCUUAACCUGUGAGCCAAAUCCAGCCUGCCUCCCAUGUUUCUGUGCUCUCAUACUAGGAAUGGUUGGGGAGAAAAAUCAAAAGAAGAAUAUUUUAUGGUGCAUAAAAAUUAUAUGAAAUUCAAAUUUCAUUGUCCCUAAAUAAAGUCUUAUUGGAACACAGCUGCGCUCAUGUAUUUACAUCUAUGGCUGCUUUCACGUCACAACAGCAAAGCUGAGUAGUUGGUGUUCUAGACCAGAAGGCUGAAGAUGGGAGUUUGCAUUGUGGCUCAGUGGGUUAAGAACCUGACGUAGUGUCCGUGAGGAUGCGGGUUUUCGAUCCCUGGCCUUGUUCAGUGGGUUAAGGAUCUGGCAUUGCUGCAAGCCGCAGCAUAGUUUACAGUUGUGCUUUAGAUCUGGCAUUGCUAUGGCUGUGGUAUAGGUAGACAGCUGUAGCUCCAAUUCAGCCCCUAGCUUGGGAACUU